UUCUCAAUCUUCUGGGAGGACCUCCUCUCGUGGCGCCCAGAAGUUAAUGGAGUCUUUGAAGAAUAACCGGACUGUACGGGAGAACCCCGGUUUUGCCCAAGUCUUGGGGUCUUCCAUCUUUCUUCGGGAGGAUCGGGACAGACUGUCUCCGGACAACCUUGACGAUAUCCUGACUCGAUCCAUGAGCCUGAAUGUGGAAUGUCUAGUGAACCAGCACAUAGUUCGGGAAAAGGCUCAUCGCCUGGGUAAGGAGAUCGAGAAGAAGAAUCAGGAAGUGGCUUCUCUCCGAUCCCAACUCCUAUCCACUCAGGAUUACAUAUCUCAAGUUGAGGGGCGGGCGAAGUUCUAUGAAGACAAGCUGGCCGAACAGUCUCAUGUUCUGGCUGAAAAGGAUCGUGCUCUCGGGGAAGUCCAGGCGCUUCGGGCCAACGAAGCUUCUUCUCAGGUCGCUCAACUUAUCGAGGAGCUUAAGGCGAAAGACGAAGAAAUGGUGACAGGAAUAGCAGGUGCUUAUGUGGAUGCUCACCAGGACCUCUUAGCCGAACUCCAGAAGCGUUACCCAGAGGAGGACUUCUCUUGGAUGGCCGACCUGGCUCCCGGAGGCGAGGGUGAGGAUAGUGAGGAGGAGGGAGAGGGUGAGCAAAAUGUAGAUCAGGCUG
This 659-nucleotide unclassified non-coding RNA is filed under the name Hevea brasiliensis (rubber tree). The record is from RNAcentral. Lineage: Eukaryota; Viridiplantae; Streptophyta; Magnoliopsida; Malpighiales; Euphorbiaceae.